Molecule: ribosomal RNA, 211 nt
Filed under: Phoma herbarum
Lineage: Eukaryota; Fungi; Ascomycota; Dothideomycetes; Pleosporales; Didymellaceae
Description: partial large subunit ribosomal RNA
Source: RNAcentral
AAGCGCUUGCAGCCAGACUUGCCUGUAGUUGCUCAUCCGGGUUUUUACCCGGUGCACUCUUCUAUAGGCAGGCCAGCAUCAGUUUGGGCGGUUGGAUAAAGGUCUCUGUCAUGUACCUCUCUUCGGGGAGAACUUAUAGGGGAGACGACAUGCAACCAGCCUGGACUGAGGUCCGCGCAUCUGCUAGGAUGCUGGCGUAAUGGCUGUAAGC